GACGAACGCUGGCGGCGUGCCUAAUACAUGCAAGUAGAACGCUGAAGGAGGAGCUUGCUCUUCUGGAUGAGUUGCGAACGGGUGAGUAACGCGUAGGUAACCUGCCUGGUAGCGGGGGAUAACUAUUGGAAACGAUAGCUAAUACCGCAUAACAGUAGAUGUUGCAUGACAUUUACUUAAAAGGUGCAAUUGCACCACUACCAGAUGGACCUGCGUUGUAUUAGCUAGUUGGUGGGGUAACGGCUCACCAAGGCGACGAUACAUAGCCGACCUGAGAGGGUGAUCGGCCACACUGGGACUGAGACACGGCCCAGACUCCUACGGGAGGCAGCAGUAGGGAAUCUUCGGCAAUGGACGGAAGUCUGACCGAGCAACGCCGCGUGAGUGAAGAAGGUUUUCGGAUCGUAAAGCUCUGUUGUAAGAGAAGAACGAGUGUGAGAGUGGAAAGUUCACACUGUGACGGUAUCUUACCAGAAAGGGACGGCUAACUACGUG
This 495-nucleotide ribosomal RNA is filed under the name uncultured bacterium. RNAcentral's name for it is "partial 16S ribosomal RNA". It matches the Rfam family "Bacterial small subunit ribosomal RNA", at positions 28 to 507 of the family's 1533-position model. The record is from RNAcentral.